CCAGACUUCCAUUAGAGGGUCACUUCUCCCCUGCUGUGCGCGGUCUUGGUGACCCUAUAAAUCAAGACUUUGAGUCUUGAGAAAACGACGAAAGAACAAGGAAAACAGCUGGAAUGCAUGUUCACUGGCUGUGCCCUCCAAGACUGGGGAGAAGUUCCUGGUGCUUAAACCCUCAGAGUCUUCGUUCACACAGCUAUUAAAGGAUGCUGCCAGAAGCAGAACCGAAGUUUCCAGACUCUGAUUUUACCACUGCAUCCCCUGCAGCCACUCUGAUUGUUAGUGAGUCCUUGUCUUGAGAGGUCUUCGAGGAAUCCUGGCUCAGCAAAGGGUAUGAGGGAGGUUUGCUACUGAUGGCUUCAGGGGUUUGAGAGGGGCAAGGAUGGCCUGAUGUUCUGCUAUUUGACCUUUUGGCUUACUCUUCACUGCCUUCUAUGAGACUAUAUAUAUUUAAUUGCCCCUGAAUGACAUAAGCAUUAAGUCUCAACUGCACUGAAUAUAUUUGAUCUUGUCUAUAUUAAAUAGAAGGGAAAAAGUUUUUUCAGUUUUUACUUAUUUGUUUUUGACAAAUAAAAACUGUAUAUAUUUAAGAUACCCAAGGUGAUGUUUUGAUAUAUGUAUACAUUGUGAAAUGAUUACAACAAUUAGACUAAUCAACAUAUC
This 660-nucleotide long non-coding RNA is filed under the name Equus asinus (donkey). RNAcentral's name for it is "lncRNA (ENSEASG00005037922.1)". The record is from RNAcentral. Lineage: Eukaryota; Metazoa; Chordata; Mammalia; Perissodactyla; Equidae.